CCUACGGGAGGCAGCAGUGGGGAAUUUUGGACAAUGGGCGCAAGCCUGAUCCAGCAAUGCCGCGUGCAGGAUGAAGGCCUUCGGGUUGUAAACUGCUUUUGUACGGAGCGAAACGGUCUACUCUAAUACAGUGGACUAAUGACGGUACCGUAAGAAUAAGCACCGGCUAACUACGUGCCAGCAGCCGCGGUAAUACGUAGGGUGCGAGCGUUAAUCGGAAUUACUGGGCGUAAAGCGUGCGCAGGCGGUUAUAUAAGACAGAUGUGAAAUCCCCGGGCUCAACCUGGGACCUGCAUUUGUGACUGUAUAGCUAGAGUGCGGCAGAGGGGGAUGGAAUUCCGCGUGUAGCAGUGAAAUGCGUAGAUAUGCGGAGGAACACCGAUGGCGAAGGCAAUCCCCUGGGCCUGCACUGACGCUCAUGCACGAACGACGGUGGGGAGGACGAACGAGGAGUAGUAUACCCGUACGGUAGUACCGACCGACCCGUAACCGUACUGUC
Molecule: ribosomal RNA, 499 nt
Filed under: uncultured bacterium
Lineage: Bacteria
Description: bacterial SSU rRNA
Rfam family: Bacterial small subunit ribosomal RNA
Source: RNAcentral